This 416-nucleotide unclassified non-coding RNA is filed under the name Hevea brasiliensis (rubber tree). The record is from RNAcentral. Lineage: Eukaryota; Viridiplantae; Streptophyta; Magnoliopsida; Malpighiales; Euphorbiaceae.
GGUUCAGCUUUCUUGAUCUCCACCUGAGUACCAGCCAUAUCAAUCAUAUUUCCCUUGGAUAACAUUUGAUCUACAAUUUCUUCAUUGUCAAAAAUAAUAAAUCCAAAUCCUCGAGAACGAUUGGUUUCAUGAUCCCGUAUAAUCUGGUGCUCCACCACUUUCCCAUAUUUUGAAAAGAAAUUCUUGAACUCAUCUUCUGUAACUGAUGAUGGAACACCACCCACAAAUAUCUUCUUAGUUUUAAAAUCCUUUGAUUGCCCAGACCCUUUAGGAAUGGUCCUCUUUAUUUCAACCUGUUUCCCAUUGAUGAUAUGGGUGUCUUCAAUAACCUUAUCUACAACCGAAGGAUCAGCAUAGGUGAUAAAACCAAAACCCCUAGGCUGACCUGUGUACCGAUCUUUCAUGAUCACUGAAUC